Molecule: ribosomal RNA, 487 nt
Filed under: uncultured bacterium
Lineage: Bacteria
Description: partial 16S ribosomal RNA
Rfam family: Bacterial small subunit ribosomal RNA
Source: RNAcentral
GUUGAACGCUAGCGAUAGGCUUAACACAUGCAAGUCGAGGGGCAGCACAAGGUAGCUUGCUCUCUGGGUGGCGACCGGCGCACGGGUGCGUAACGCGUAUGCAACUUGCCCUAUACAGGAGGAUAACCCGUCGAAAGACGGACUAAUACUGCGUAUGCUCACAACUUGGCAUCAAGUGGUGAGGAAAGAAAUUCGGUAUAGGAUAGGCAUGCGUCCCAUUAGCUUGUUGGUGAGGUAACGGCUCACCAAGGCAACGAUGGGUAGGGGAACUGAGAGGUUUAUCCCCCACACUGGUACUGAGACACGGACCAGACUCCUACGGGAGGCAGCAGUGAGGAAUAUUGGUCAAUGGGCGCGAGCCUGAACCAGCCAAGUCGCGUGAAGGAGGACUGUCUUAUGGAUUGUAAACUUCUUUUAUACGGGAAUAACAAGAGUCACGUGUGACUCCCUGCAUGUACCGUAUGAAUAAGCAUCGGCUAACUCCGUG